Molecule: non-coding RNA, 353 nt
Organism: Camellia sinensis
Lineage: Eukaryota; Viridiplantae; Streptophyta; Magnoliopsida; Ericales; Theaceae
Source: RefSeq, a predicted model, not a curated record
AGGGAAAAAGGAAAGAGGGAGGAGAGCACGGCUGAGAAACCAAGGGGAAGGAAGAAAAGGAAAGGAGAAAGCCUCGGCGGUUAUCAAAACUCAAGCUAAAAAUUAUGAAAAAUUUAUUAUGAGGUCACGCGCCAUUGUCUGUCUGAUUUGUGAUAUGUCUGAUCUGCUUCUACAACUAUCUGUGAUCAGGGCGUGACCAAGCUUAGAGGCGUCUGGAAUCAGUUUUUGACAACCAACGUCUUUGUGUAUUUUGUAAAUAGGGCUAAGUCCCUUUUUGUCUAGCUAGAAUAUGUAUAUAUAUAUAUAUAUAUAUAUGAUGUGUACAUGUAUGCAAAUAAAAUUAAUUUUUUUUU